Molecule: ribosomal RNA, 454 nt
Filed under: uncultured bacterium
Lineage: Bacteria
Description: bacterial SSU rRNA
Rfam family: Bacterial small subunit ribosomal RNA
Source: RNAcentral
UACGGAAGGCAGCAGUGGGGAAUAUUGCACAAUGGGCGCAAGCCUGAUGCAGCCAUGCCGCGUGUAUGAAGAAGGCCUUCGGGUUGUAAAGUACUUUCAGCGGGGAGGAAGGCGAUGCGGUUAAUAACCGCGUCGAUUGACGUUACCCGCAGAAGAAGCACCGGCUAACUCCGUGCCAGCAGCCGCGGUAAUACGGAGGGUGCAAGCGUUAAUCGGAAUUACUGGGCGUAAAGCGCACGCAGGCGGUCUGUUAAGUUAGAUGUGAAAUCCCCCGGGCUUAACCUGGGAACUGCAUUUUGAAACUGGCAGGCUUGAGUCUUGUAGAGGGGGUGAAUUCCAGGUGUAGCGGUGAAAUGCGUAGAGAUCUGGAGGAAUACCGGUGGCGAAGGCGGCCCCUGGGACAAAGACUGACGCUCAGGUGCGAAAGCGUGGGGAGCAAACAGGAUUAGAUACC